UGGUCAAAGGAACUUUACCGGUCAGAGAUACCGGUCUCGGGCACCGGUGAUCGUGGGUUCAAAUCCCACCCGCCCCACCA
RNAcentral lists this transfer RNA (80 nucleotides) under archaeon 13_1_40CM_2_52_13. RNAcentral's name for it is "tRNA-Pro". It matches the Rfam family "tRNA". Rfam says of the family: Transfer RNA (tRNA) molecules are approximately 80 nucleotides in length. Their secondary structure includes four short double-helical elements and three loops (D, anti-codon, and T loops). The record is from RNAcentral.